AAAAAGGAAAUGACGGGGGCCCAGGCACAAGCGUGGAGCAUGUGGUUAAUUCGAUGCNAACGCGAAGACCCUUACCUACUCUUGACAUCCAGAGAACUUUCCAGAGAUGGAUUGGUGCCUUCGGGAACUCUGAGACAGGUGCUGCAUGGCUGUCGUCAGCUCGUGUUGUGAAAUGUUGGGUUAAGUCCCGCAACGAGCGCAACCCUUAUCCUUUGUUGCCAGCGGUUAGGCCGGGAACUCAAAGGAGACUGCCAGUGAUAAACUGGAGGAAGGUGGGGAUGACGUCAAGUCAUCAUGGCCCUUACGAGUAGGGCUACACACGUGCUACAAUGGCGCAUACAAAGAGAAGCGACCUCGCGAGAGCAAGCGGACCUCAUAAAGUGCGUCGUAGUCCGGAUUGGAGUCUGCAACUCGACUCCAUGAAGUCGGAAUCGCUAGUAAUCGUGGAUCAGAAUGCCACGGUGAAUACGUUCCCGGGCCUUGUACACACCGCCCGUCACACCAUGGGAGUGGGUUGCAAAAGAAGUAGGUAGCUUAACCUUCGGGAGGGCGCUUACCACUUUGUGAUUCAUGACUGGGGUGAAGUCGUACAAUGUAAUUACAC
Molecule: ribosomal RNA, 604 nt
Filed under: uncultured bacterium
Lineage: Bacteria
Description: bacterial SSU rRNA
Rfam family: Bacterial small subunit ribosomal RNA
Source: RNAcentral